Molecule: ribosomal RNA, 3247 nt
Filed under: Pinus taeda (loblolly pine)
Lineage: Eukaryota; Viridiplantae; Streptophyta; Pinopsida; Pinales; Pinaceae
Description: eukaryotic LSU rRNA
Rfam family: Eukaryotic large subunit ribosomal RNA
Source: RNAcentral
UGACCUCAGCUCAGGAGAGAACACCCGCUGAGUUUAAGAAUAUAAUUAAGCGGAGGAAAAGAAACUUACAAGGAUUCCCCUAGUAGCGGCGAGUGAACCAGGAAGAGCCCAACAUGAAAAUCGGGUGGCAGCGUUGCAUGAAUUGUAGUUUGUAGAAGCGUCCUCAGCAGCGGACCUGGGCCAAGUCCCUUGGAAGGGGGCGCCUGAGAGGGUGAUAGCCCCGUUGGCCCGGGACCCUGCUGCAUCACGGGGCAUUGUCGGCGAGUCAGGUUGUCUGGGAAUGCAACCCUAAUUGGGUGGUAAAUUAUGUCCAAGGCUAAAUACGGGUGAGAGACUGAUAGCGAAAGAUGAAAAGGACUUUGAAAAGAGAGUUAAAGAGUGCUUGAAAUUACCAUGAGGGAAGCGGAUGGAGGCUUUCAAUGCGUUUCGGUUGGAUGUGGAAUGGCUCAGGCUGGUCCAUAGCUCGACUUGAGGUGCAAACAAACACGGGCUGCUGCAUUGUCACAAGCGCGGGUGGAUUUCCCCCUGUCAGUUUGCUGCUGCGAUGGUUGAGGAAUGAAGCAUGCACCCUUGUGGCGGGCUGUGUGCACCUGUGCGCUCGUGGUGUGUGCGAGUCGGCGGGUUUGAAAACUUGCGAGGCGCAAGGAAAUCUGACGGGCAAGAUCCCCUCUCUUGGGGGGUGCAUCGUCGACUGACCUUGAUCUUAUGCGAAGGGUUCGAGUGCGAGCACACCUGUUGGGACCCGAAAGAUGGUGAACUAUGCCUGAGUAGGGUGAAGCCAGAGGAAACUCUGGUGGAGGCUCGUAGCGAUACUGACAUGCAAAUCGUUCGUCUGACUUGGGUAUAGGGGCGAAAGACUAAUCGAACCAUAUACUAGCUAGUUUCCUCUGAAGUUUCCCUCGGGAUAGCUGGAGCUCACACGCGAGUUUUAUCAGGUAAAGAAAAUGAUUAGAGGCAUCGGCGGUGUAACACCCUCGACCUAUUCUCAAACUUUAAAUAGGUAAGAGGGUGCGGAUGCUCCAUUGAGCCGCACCGUGGAAUCGAGAGCUCCAAGUGGGCCAUUUUUGGUAAGCAGAACUGGCGAUGCGGGAUGAACCGAAAGUCGAGUUACGGUGGUGAAUUGCAUGCUAACCUAGAUCCCACAAAGGGUGUUGGUUGAUUAAGACAGCAGGACAGUGGUCAUGGAAGUCAAAAUCCGCUAAGGAGUGUGUAACAACUCACCUGUCGAAUCAACUAGCCCCGAAAAUGGAUGGCGCUGACCUAUACUCGACCGUUGAAGCAAUUGCCUGGCUCCGAUGAGUAGGAGGAUGUGGGGGUCAUUGAGAAACCUCGGGCGUGAGCUUGGGUGGAUCGGCGCCCGCUGCAGAUCUUGGUGGUAGUAGCAAAUAUUCAAAUGAGAACUUUGAAGACUGAAGUGGGGAAAGGUUCCAUGUGAACAACACUUGGACUUGGGUUAGUCGAUCCUAAGAGAUGGGGAAGCCUUGUAUCAAGGGUGCACUCUGCACGAGCAUCGAAAGGGAAUCAGGUUAAUAUUCCCGAACUGGGACAUGGCAGCGGGCAGCAACGUUAGGAAAUCCACAGACAUCAUCAAGGGCCCUGGGAAGAGUUAUCUUUUCUUUUUAAUAGCUUUCCCACCCUAGAAUUGGUUCACCCGUAGAUAGGGUCCAGCAGCUAGAAGAGCACCACACAUCUUGUGGUGUCCAGUGCACCCUCGAAGGCCCUUGAAAAUCUGGAGGACCGAGUACCGUUCAUGCCCGGUCGUACUCAUAACCGCAUUAGGUCUCCAAGGUGAACAACCUAUAGUCAAUAAAAUAAUGUAGGUAAGGGAAGUCGGCAAAAAGGAUCCGUAACUUUAGGAAAAGGAUUGGCUCUAAGGGUUGGGCCUAGGGGUCUGCGUCGUCAACUCAUGGGCUAUCGGCAGUCUUCCCGAGCUGCUCUCAUGGCGAGGGCAGGCAGUCGCGUGUCGAUUGGGCUACAGGUGUAGAAUGCCCCCUGCCGGGGGCUUUUCCCUAGGCGUCGAACAGUCAACUCAGAACUGGUAUGGACAAGGGGAAUCCGACUAUUUAAUUAAAAAAAAACAUUGCGAUGGUCCCUGCGAAUGCUGACGUAAUGUGAUUUCUGCCCAGUGCUCUGAAUGUUAAAGUGAAGAAAUUCAACCAAGCGCGAGUAAACGGUGGGAGUAACUAUGACUCUCUUAAGGUAGCCAAAUUCCUCGUCAUCUAAUUAGUGACAUGUAUGAAUGGAUUAACGAUAUUCCCACUAUCCCUAUCUACUAUCUAGCAAAACCAUAGCCAAGGGAACAGGCUUGGCAGAAUCAGCGGGGAAAGAAGACCCUGUUGAGCUUGAAUCUAGUCCAACUUUGUGAAAUGACUUGAGAGGUGUAGAAUAAGUGGGAGCCGUUUUCGGUGCAAGUGAAAUACCACUACUUUUAACGUUAUUUUACUUAUUUCGUUGGGCGGAGAUGGGGCACUGCCCCUGUUUUUGGCCUUAAGGCACGUUUCGGCAGGUCGAUCUAGGCGGAAGACAUUGUCAAGUGGGGAGUUUGGCUGGGGCGGCACAUCUGUCAAAAGAUAACGCAGGUGUCCUAAGAUGAUCUCAACGAGUACAAAAAUCUCGUGUGGAACAAAAGGAUAAAAGCUCAUUUGAUUUUGAUUUUUAGUAUGAAUACAAACCGUGAAAGCAUGGCCUAUCGAUCCUUUAGAUUUUCAAAAUUUGAAGCUAGAGGUGUCAGAAAAGUUACCAUAGGGAUAACUGGCUUGUAGCAGGAAGCGUUCAUAGCGACGUUGCUUUUUGAUCCUUCGAUGUCGAAUCUUCCUAUCAUUGUGAAGCAAAAUUCGCCAAGUGUUGGAUUGUUCACCCACCAAUAGGGAACGUGAGAUGGGUUUAGACCAUCGUGAGACAGGUUAGUUUUACCCUCCUGAUGAACCGCACCGAAAUAGUAAUUCAACUUAGUACAAGAGGAACCGUUGAUUCACACAAUUGGUCAUCGCGCUUGGUUGAAAAGCCAGUAGCGCAAAGCUACCGUGUGUCAGAUUAUGACUGAACGCCUCUAAGUCAAAAUCCAUUCUAGAAGUGGUGCAUGUCACUCUUCGACUGUAUCUCGACCCGCAGUAGGGGCGUCACUUUGUCGCCCCCAGGGGCCCGUGUCAUUUGCAAACCGCGAUCAUCAAGCAUCUCGGUUGGGGCAGCUUUGAAGUUCAAUUCCAAAUGGUCGUUGAGAAGAAUCCUUUGCAGAUGAUUUAAAUAC